AAAAGUGUCUCUAGAGAUAACCUAUUUUAGUUUUCUUUUUCUAGAUAUUUUAGAAGAAGUCACCAUUACCACUCAAAUUUGAAAUCAAAUCAGCUAGUGUCAGCACAGAAUGUGGUGAAUUUUGAGACACAGAAUCGAAAGAGGAUAAGAGCAAAACAAAAACAACCAACUUUAACAUCUUUCACAGAGCAGAGAGUAACAGAGUUCCAUUCCUUCUUCAAUAAUUCCGCACCAUACACUGAACAAUGCAUGCCAUUCUGCCAACCCUGCAAUAAUAUAAUGUAAUCAAAUACCACAAGUAAAUUAUGAAUUUGAACCAAAAAAAACAAUUUGUAUAGUCAAUAAGAGUAUAAUAUUGAAUUUCAGUGAAAAGUGGACGAAAUGUAGAACGACACGUGCGGAUGCAGUCUUAUGCGAUCUUGAAUUGUUGUUGCCACGAAACAUAUCAUUAUGGGUAUAGCAGUUUCUGUUCAUGGGGUCCAUAGACUAGACAACUAUUGUGUUUUCAUGUUUUACUACUAUGUUUGUAUUUUUAGUUGUAAAAUGGUUUCCUACAGAUCGACACCAAACGAAUACAUAUUUGUAUCUUGCAAUUAUCCGAUGCCAG
Molecule: long non-coding RNA, 607 nt
Filed under: Cicer arietinum (chickpea)
Lineage: Eukaryota; Viridiplantae; Streptophyta; Magnoliopsida; Fabales; Fabaceae
Description: long non-coding RNA (CARI_LNC002216)
Source: RNAcentral